Molecule: ribosomal RNA, 253 nt
Filed under: uncultured bacterium
Lineage: Bacteria
Description: partial 16S ribosomal RNA
Rfam family: Bacterial small subunit ribosomal RNA
Source: RNAcentral
UACGGAGGGUGCAAGCGUUAUCCGGAUUUACUGGGUUUAAAGGGUGCGUAGGUGGACCUUUAAGUCAGUGGUGAAAUCUCCGGGCUUAACCCGGAAACUGCCAUUGAUACUAUCGGUCUUGAAUACUUUGGAGGUAAGCGGAAUAUGUCAUGUAGCGGUGAAAUGCUUAGAUAUGACAUAGAACACCAAUUGCGAAGGCAGCUCACUACACAAAUAUUGACGCUGAGGCACGAAAGCGUGGGGAUCAAACAGG